GAGUUUGAUCAUGGCUCAGAUUGAACGCUGGCGGCAUGCCUUACACAUGCAAGUCGAACGGCAGCACGGGAGCUUGCUCCUGGUGGCGAGUGGCGAACGGGUGAGUAAUGCAUCGGAACGUAUCCUGGAGUGGGGGGAUAACGUAGCGAAAGUUACGCUAAUACCGCAUAUUCUGUGAGCAGGAAAGCGGGGGACCUUCGGGCCUCGCGCUCUUGGGGCGGCCGAUGUCGGAUUAGCUAGUUGGUGAGGUAAAGGCUCACCAAGGCGACGAUCCGUAGCAGGUCUGAGAGGAUGAUCUGCCACACUGGAACUGAGACACGGUCCAGACUCCUACGGGAGGCAGCAGUGGGAAUUUUGGACAAUGGGGGCAACCCUGAUCCAGCCAUGCCGCGUGAGUGAAGAAGGCCUCGGUUGUAAG
Molecule: ribosomal RNA, 418 nt
Filed under: bacterium enrichment culture clone ALO1_GLFRUDD03GYXHR
Lineage: Bacteria
Description: bacterial SSU rRNA
Rfam family: Bacterial small subunit ribosomal RNA
Source: RNAcentral